This 253-nucleotide ribosomal RNA is filed under the name uncultured bacterium. Its description in RNAcentral is "partial 16S ribosomal RNA". It matches the Rfam family "Bacterial small subunit ribosomal RNA", at positions 524 to 776 of the family's 1533-position model. The record is from RNAcentral.
UACGAGUGCCCCGAGCGUUAUCCGGAAUCAUUGGGCGUAAAGGGUGUGUAGGUGGCAGUGUUAGUCGUCUGUUAAAACCUGGGGCUCAACCCCAGACCGGCGGGCGAAACGGCACAGCUAGAGGAUGGCAGGGAUGUAUGGAACUCAUGGAGUAGGGGUGAAAUCCGUUGAUAUCAUGGGGAACACCAAAAGCGAAAGCAGUACAUUGGGCCACUCCUGACACUGAAACACGAAAGCGUGGGUAGCGAAUGGG